Molecule: non-coding RNA, 1153 nt
Organism: Podarcis lilfordi (Lilford's wall lizard)
Lineage: Eukaryota; Metazoa; Chordata; Lepidosauria; Squamata; Lacertidae
Source: the annotation of a GenBank genome assembly
UGGCGCGGCAGCAGCAGGAAGCCCCAUAGGCUAAAGUGGUGCUUCAGGUUAAGAACAGUUUCAGGUUAAGAACGGACCUCCGGAAUGAAUUAAGUACUUAACCCGAGGUACCACUGUACGUCUCUCACCCCAUGCCAUGAUUCCAUCCUGCUACAUGCCCAGCGCUGAUUGAGGAAGAUGCCUGUUUUGGUGAAGUUUGUAAAUUAUCUUACACAGGAAGAAAAAACGCUGUAGGGUUUAUAGUGGCAGACCUUCAGUUUCACCCCAGCCAGAUUGUAUUACAGAACUGCAGUUUCCUCUUCCCUUAGUUUCAUCAUCAGCUCCCUUCCACCAUUUCCUGCUCCUUGUUAUUUAGAAAGUCAUUUAUGAAUGACAUUGAAUUUGAGGCAAGCAGUGAGUUGGCCAAGUUGGCCGAUGAUGCCAGAUUGUUCAAGGCGCUUUAAACGAAAAGGAUGUGCCCAAACUGGGUGAACAACGGGCAAUAAAAUGGCAAAUGCCAUUCAACGUAAGCAAGUGACGCACAUUGGUGCAAAAAUACCCCCAACCACCCUUAUUUCGCGUGUACGUUGAUGAGGUUUGAGCUGGCGGUGACUGACCACGAAAAGGACCUUGGAGUCAUGGUGAGCAGCUCAAAGAAAACGUCAACUCUGCACUCGGAAGUUUAAGGCAAAUUCCACAACAAGGAUCAUUAGGAAAGGGGUUGCGACUGAAACGAGAUUGAAUAAAUCUAUGGUGCAAUCAUAUCUGGAGUACAGUACAGUGGUACCUCGGGUUACAUAUGCUUCAGGUUACAUACGCUUCAGGUUACAGACUCCGCUAACCCAGAAAUAGUACCUUGGGUUAAGAACUUUGCUUCAGGAUGAGAACACAAAUCGCGCAGCGGCAGUGGGAGGCCCCAUUAGCUAAAGUGGUGCUUCAGGUUAAGAACAGUUUCAGGUUAAGAACGGACCUCCGGAACGAAUUAAGUACUUAACCCAAGGUACUGAGUUCAACUGGUUUUCACAGCUCAAAAAGAAUACUAUAGAGCUCGGAAAGUUUCAGAAAUGGGCAAGCAAACUUACCCCUAUGAGUAAAGGUUACACCAUUUAAGAGAGGCUCGGAGAUAUAGAUGGAGGAUAAGUAACCAGGCGUUGAAAGGUUACUAGGCAUGAAG